GAUGCUGAUUGGCCUUCCAAAUA
Molecule: non-coding RNA, 23 nt
Filed under: Arabidopsis thaliana (thale cress)
Lineage: Eukaryota; Viridiplantae; Streptophyta; Magnoliopsida; Brassicales; Brassicaceae
Source: RNAcentral